AUGCCGGGAAAAAUGUUGCAUUUGUUCCUCCUGUCGUCUUUUAAGGUACAAGCUUUCCUAAUAGCUCUCUUUCAAAUCGUAAUGAAGUUCCAUUUUCAUAAUUUGCAGGGAAUGAGUCAAGGCAGAGGUCCUUCAAGCAGAGGUAUAAGCCAGAGAGCAGGGGCUCAAAUGGAAGGUAGACCUGUAGGUGGUGGGAUGGAUCUAAGACGUGGUCCUGCAAGAGCAUAUAGGACCAGCCAGGGAAAAAGGAAACUAAAAGCAGUAAUGCAUUUAAGUCGCGUAGCAGUAAGCGCUCACAAGCCAGUAGGAAGAGCUGAAUCUGCUCGUUCUCGAUGGAAGAAAGCGAAGAUAUUCCCAAUGAUYCUGCAGAAAGUAAAAGGCAGUAGGAAGGAUUCCAGUUAUGCCAAGCUCAUGUCAGCUCGCCAAGUGGAUGGUGAAGAAAGCGUGAUUAUCAAGGGAAAUUACUUCCAGAAAUCAACAGAUGAUAGACCUUCCAUGAGAAAACUAAAUCAUGUGUUGAAAAGCGUUAGUGUUUCCAAAAAAAUGCAGGAGUCUACUGGCAAGGAAUCAGUCCAUGCAAGAGGAAAAGGAGAGGAAGAAUAUGAAGGAGAUGAAACAAAAUCAGGUGUUUCAAUAAAUAUCACAGCAGAAAGUGAACAUGAGGAGAGUGAUUAUGAGAAGAAGAAAAAGAAGAGAAGAAAAUACACCUCAGAUGAUGAAUCAUCAGUGAAGAGCAGCAGCUCUGCCUCAGAGUCAGAAGAUAAAGACUAUUUGAAAGUAACACUGGACCAAGAUGAAGCYACUGAAAGUACUGUGGACUCUGAUGAAGAAGAUGGGCACGAUUUGGGGGAUUCUGAAGAUGACGAAUCUGGAUCCAGCUCUAGUAGUGACUCUGAGGAGGACUCAUCUGAAGAGGAAGAUGAUGAGGAGGACUCUGAAAGUGAUGAAGAUGACAGCCAAUCAAAGAGCUCCUCAACGCAAAGUUCGUUCAGCAGGUCAGGGCCUAGUGAGUCUAGCAGCAGCAGAAGUACUGAAAGGUCAAGUGUAAAAAGUAGGGGAGGUGGUUCUCGUGGAAGAGCGAGGCGCUCCAGCCAGAAGUCAGCAGCAAGUUCCAAUGCAUCCGGGAGCGAGAGGGACACCAGCCACAGGAAAUCUUCAGGAUCCAGCUAUAAGAACAAAACAUCCUCGGCCAGCCUUGAAAUAGAAGACACAAUAGAAGAGGUGUCGGAAGAAGAUGAGCAAGCAGACGCGGAGCAAGUCGAYGCAAGCCCCGAUGAGACAGCAGGUAACGUAGAUGAUAAGGCCACUCCUGAAACAUCUUCUGCCAAUGCAAAAACUGCUACUGCUAAAGAAAAGAAGAAAGGAAAAUCGGGUGUUAAUGGUGGUGGUCGCGURGAUGAAAGCACGGAAGAGGUUGCUACAGGUGCUAGCGACGGGGAGGAGACUCUCAGUAAGAAUGAGUCUAGUUGCCUAGAAAGCGAAAUCAGCGUCACUUCCAAGGGUACCAAAGGGACAAAAAGCACAACUAGUGCCACCUCCGGCAAAGCCGAUGCUUCCCGUCAUACUGAGAGUCAAAGUUCUGACACCAACGUGAAAAGAAGGAAAAYGAGAAAAAAGGCGUCCCUGGAAAACAGCGAGUCACGGUCAGAUGAGACCCUGGAUACUGCCGCUACGGAGUCGGAGACCACCGGUGAUUCCACAGCCUUUUAG
Molecule: long non-coding RNA, 1710 nt
Organism: Apteryx haastii (Great spotted kiwi)
Lineage: Eukaryota; Metazoa; Chordata; Aves; Apterygiformes; Apterygidae
Source: Ensembl